AACUUUCAAGAAAAAUAACCAGUCUAAUCGAAUUGUAUAACGAAAACUAGUAUCAAUGUCUAAAAAAGAAGAUGUGGUAUGAUUGCCAAUGAGACAACUAUCCACAAAAGACCAAAAUAGCACAGACAUUAACAACUAUAGGUCACCGUACGGCCUUAAACAAUGAGCAAAGCCCAUACCGCAUAGUCAGCUAUAAAAGGCCCCGAUAAGACAAUGUAAAACAAUUCAAACGAGAAAACUAACGGCCUUAUUUAUGUAAAAAAAAAAAUAAAAAAAAAAAAAAAAAAUGAACGAAAAACAAAUAUGUAACACAUACACAAACGACAACCACUGAAGUACAGGCUCCUGACUUGGGACAGGC
RNAcentral lists this long non-coding RNA (361 nucleotides) under Mytilus galloprovincialis (Mediterranean mussel). The record is from RNAcentral. Lineage: Eukaryota; Metazoa; Mollusca; Bivalvia; Mytilida; Mytilidae.